ACCAGUGACACGGGGUGCUUCGGACCGCACAGGGGUUCCGAGCUGAGAUCACACCCGUCGAACCUGAUCCGGGUAACGCCGGCGAAGGGAUGUCCACUCACCCGCCC
RNAcentral lists this non-coding RNA (107 nucleotides) under Nocardiopsis alba. RNAcentral's name for it is "TPP sequence". It matches the Rfam family "TPP riboswitch aptamer (THI element)". From Rfam's summary of the family: Vitamin B(1) in its active form thiamin pyrophosphate (TPP) is an essential coenzyme that is synthesised by coupling of pyrimidine and thiazole moieties in bacteria. Lineage: Bacteria; Bacillati; Actinomycetota; Actinomycetes; Streptosporangiales; Nocardiopsidaceae. The record is from RNAcentral.